GCAGACGAUAAAUCCUUUUCAUCCUGUCAAACAAACAUAAUAAGAUAUGGUUACGAAUAAAAUGUUGAGGACCAUCAGAUCUCAUUAAUGAUUUCAAGAACGGUCAUAGAUGACAAGUAAAGAUUUCAGAGGAUGAAAAAUCGAGAAAAUCUGGGUCUUUUUAAACGACUUCUCUCCUUACUCACAAUUGCAAAAAUUUCCAGACUCAAUAAAAAAUUUCACUUUUUGUUGUCAAAAUGACGAGAGUUGAGCACAGCUCUCACAUCUGACGAGAGGACACGGAAAUAAAUGGAUUUGAAAAUUAUGUAGAGUUGAAACAAUUACAAAAUAUCAAACCUGUAACCAUCAAAUAGCCAAAUGGCCGUUUCUUCAAAUGGAGCUUUUUAAUAUAUCGUAAGGAAAAAUGUCUCCCAACUUUUGGGUUUCUCUCAGAAUUUUGUUGACUUAGCUAGUAACUCUUGCCAGCGGGCAGCGAAAAUUUUGAAAAUUUAAGUUUAUUAAGACGUACCUGACGUCUAUUAUGUCGCAGGACAGAUUAAACCCUUUGGCUGUCUUAUCUAUCUAUCUAUUGUUAUCACAAACUUGAUUAAAAAUGUAUUUUUUAAAUCCUACAAAUUCUUAUCGCCCUCGUCUGUACGCACAGGACGUCAAAACACCUAAAGCCGGCGCUGCUUCAAUAUCAUACUAUUUUCUUGUUGUAAAUUAUGUGAGGGGUUUAAUUUGGGUUCUUACAUCGCUCAUAUCACCAACAUCCAAGUUUUUACUAUCCACCAUACUUCCAUUUGUGUCUGCCGAACCUAGUGCACCUGGAGGACCGGCAUUCACUGGGGUCCACGGAGAUGGUAUGGUGCCGGGUCCGA
Drosophila pseudoobscura is the source of this 860-nucleotide long non-coding RNA. RefSeq lists it as uncharacterized. NCBI's taxonomy places the organism in Eukaryota, Metazoa, Arthropoda, Insecta, Diptera, Drosophilidae. The transcript is spliced from 2 exons. The record is from RefSeq and is a predicted model, not a curated record.